CUUGAGGGAGGCCUUCUUCUCCUCGCCACCGUGUGCUGCACAACCGGUGACGGCAUGUGCGCCGCGCGGCAAAGGGAGCCAGCGGCCAUCACUCUUCAGUCUUCCGUCAGAAUCCCUGUAAGGUUCAGUAGCAGCAGAGGGCAAGAGAACUUGGCUGAGCCAGCAUACAGGGUGGAUGUGCGGGAGGAGAUUCACGCGCGCGUGCGGUGCCAAACUGCCAAUGGUGGUGCUCGGUGGAAUGGCAGUGAUUCCUCCUCCAUCUCAACUGAAAAUGUCUCUCCGUGCGGCCUCUUCACGAUGAGGGAUGAGACGGACCGUUCUGCUUUUGCCGCGUGCUUUAGUAUUAUGGCAUGGCAAGGUACGAACGACUUAAGGAGCGCCUGAAAGGUGUUCGACCAAAUGGGUGAACGGGGGUGCACGUUGGCCGGGUGAUGUUUCUUGUUCUCCGCCAGGGGGGUUGGCCGGGAGAAGAUGUGAACAGCGGUCAAGGGUUGAUCCCGGAUAAUGUUGAGGCGGACGGAAACACAUUUACCUCAGCCUCUAGGAAUGUCGAUGUUGAUCUCAUUGAAGGGGAUCCAGGAGGGGCCUCUUGGAUUGGAUAUGUUAUUGUUGACUACAUAGCCGAAACAGGUAAAGUAUAGAGGAGGCCACCAUACUGAGAACAAAGAAAUUUAGCCAUGAGAAAAGAGGCCAGUUACAAGUUCUAUGCUCUGCAGGACAAUAAACGAAUUCAUUUAAGUCCCUCCAAGUGGAUGUUAUUAUAAUCACACACUGUACAUGCUCUCAAACGGCUAAUCAGGGAGAAGCAUGUGGCCAUUUUGCAUCCUGAAAAAUGUUAUUGUGAAAAUAGAAACGAGAUGGCUCAAUCUGUGCUACUGCAAACGUGAUAUGAUAAGAGGUUCAGCUGCUACUUCGUUAUUCCAAAAAUAAUGCCGACUGAGCUGUUGCAAUGCUGCUGUGUUUCCUUGUGUCCUCCUGUGCGUUGUGAUUUUGAGUGGUUCCAAUGGCUGAUCUAGUAACCAGCAUGGUGAUCGGGCCUUUAGUGUCAAUGGUGAAGGAGAAGGCCUCCAGUUACCUGCUGGAGCAGUACAAGGUGAUGGAGGGCAUGGAGGAGCAGCAUGAGAUUCUCAAGCGCAAGCUGCCAGCUAUCCUCGAUGUCAUCAGCGAUGCUGAGGAGCAGGCAUCCCACAGACAAGGAGUAAAAGCCUGGCUUGAGGCACUCAAGAAGGUGGCCUAUGAGGCUAAUGACAUCUUCGAUGAGUUCAAGUACGAGGCACUCCGUCGUGAAGCAAAGAAGAAUGGGCACUAUCGAGGACUCGGCAUGGAUGCGGUAAAACUCUUUCCUACCCAUAACCGUAUCAUGUUCCGUUAUACGAUGGGAAAAAAACUUCGUAGGAUAGUUCAGAUCAUUGAGGUCCUUGUGGCAGAAAUGAAUGCUUUUGGAUUCAAAUAUCAGCGGCAAUCAUUGGCAUCUAAGCAGUGGAGGCAAACAGAUUCCAUCAUUGAUUACUCUGAGAAAGAUAUUGUGGAAAGAUCUAGAGAGACAGAGAAGCAAAAGAUUGUGAGAUCAUUACUUGAAAACAAUGACAUAAUGGUUCUUCCAAUAGUGGGCAUGGGUGGUCUAGGAAAGACAACUUUUGCAAAGCUUAUCUAUAAUGAACCACAAAUCAAGGAGCAUUUCCAGUUGAAUAGAUGGGUUUGUGUGUCUGAUGAGUUUGAUCUUAGUAAAAUUGCAAGUAAGAUUAGCAUGACCACAAAUGAGAAAGAUUGUGACAAUGUGCUUCAGAAGCUCCAGCAAGAAGUUAGUGGAAAGAGGUUUCUCCUAGUGUUGGAUGAUGUGUGGAAUCGUGAUGUUGAUAAGUGGUCAAAACUAAAGACUUGCCUUCAACAGGGUGCAGCGGGCAGUGUGAUAUUAACAACAACUCGUCUUGCAGAAGUUGCUCAAAUUAUGGGAACCGUUCAAGCACACAACCUCACUACGUUGGACAACAGAUUUUUAUGGGAAAUAAUUGAAAGAAGAGCUUUCUAUUUGAAAAAGGAAAAACCCAGUGAACUUGUUGAUAUGGUUGACAAAUUUGUGGAUCGAUGCGUUGGCUCUCCUUUAGCUGCAAGAGCUGUAGGCUCUGUACUGAGCAAUAAAACCACUCCCAAAGAAUGGAAUACUUUAUUAAGCAAAAGCGUCAUCUUUGAUGAUGAUAGUGGGAUCUUACCGAUUCUCAAACUUAGCUACGAUGACUUGCCUUCACAAAUGAAGCUAUGCUUUGCAUUUUGUGCUAUAUUUCCGAAAGAUUAUGAGAUUGACGUGGAAAUGUUGGUAAAGUUAUGGAUGGCAAAUGACUUCAUUCCUUCUGAGAAUGGAGUUGGCCUUGAAAAAGUUGGCAACCGGAUUUUCAACGAACUGGCUCGAAGAUCCUUCUUUCAGGAUGUGGACGAAACAUCACUGUUCAAGAUGUACAGGAGGGAUAAGCUCUGCCAAUUUAGGAAGACGUGCAAGAUCCAUGAUCUCAUGCAUGACAUUGCUUUGUAUGUCAUGAGAGAAGAAUGUGUUACAGUAAUGGGUAGGCCUAAUUCCAUCCAGUUGUUGAAAGAUUCUUCUCGCCAUCUGUUUUCAUCAUAUCAUAGAAUGAAUACCCUUUUGGAUGCUUUUAUUGAGAAAAGAAUUCUACCUCUCCGGACAGUGAUGUUCUUUGGUCACUUAGAUGGCUUCCCACAACAUUUACUGAAAUACAAUUCUCUACGAGCAUUAUGCAUACCUAAUUUUCGUGGGCGACCAUGUCUAAUUCAAGCAAAGCAUUUGCAUCAUCUAAGGUAUCUCAAUCUUUCUCAUAGCUGGAAUAUGGAAAGACUUCCUGAGGAAAUAAGCAUAUUAUAUAAUUUACAAACGUUGGAUCUUUCUGAUUGCUGUUCUCUUCGUUGUCUUCCAAAAAAUAUGAAGUAUAUGACUAGCCUCCGGCACCUAUACACUCAAGGAUGUACAGACUUGGAGUGCAUGCCUCCAGAACUGAGAAAAGUAACUGCACUACAGACACUUACAUAUUUUGUUGUGGGCAAUAGCUCGGAUUGUAGUAAUGUUGGAGAGAUACAUGACUUAAAUCUUGGAGGUGAGCUGGAGCUUGGCAAACUAGAAAAUGCAAAUGAAGAACAAGCAAUUGCAGCAAAUAUUAAAGAAAAGGUGGAUCUCACACAUUUGUGUUUCAAAUGGAGCAAUGACAUAGAAAAGGACCCAGAACAUUAUCAGAAUGUUCUAGGCGCUCUAAGGCCUCAUGCUAAGCUACAAUUGCUAAAGGUACAGUCGUUCAAAGGAACCAAUUUCCCGACAUGGAUGACAGAUGUAUGUACAUUCAUGAACUUGACAGAGAUCCAUUUAGUUGAUUGCCCAUUAUGCAAGGAAAUUCCGAAGUUCUGGAAGCUACCAGCCCUUGAAGUUCUGCAUUUAACAGGAUUGAAUAAAUUGCAAAGCCUAUGCAGUGGUGCUAGUGAUGUCAUUAUGUGCUCUGCAUUUCAAAAACUCAAGAAACUCAAGUUGCAACAUUUGAAGAGCUUGAAGAGAUGGGGCACAAUGGAGGGAAAACUAGGGGAUGAGGCAAUAUUUCCUGUGCUUGAGGAUAUUCAUAUUAAGAACUGUCCAGAGUUGACAGUUAUCCCUGAAGCACCAAAAAUUGGAACAUUGAAGCUGGAAGAAAAUAAACCACACCUGUCACUGUUAGUUGUUGGUUCUAGAUACAUGUCUUUGUUGUCCAAAAUGGAGUUGUCAAUCGAUGACAUUGAAGCAGCAUUAAUACCAGAUCAAAGCUCUGUAGAAACAUUAGAUGACAAGGAUAUAUGGAAUAGCGAGGCUUCUGUUACAGAAAUGAAGUUAGAUGGUUGCAAUAUGUUCUUCCCCACAACACCAUCGAAACCAACAGUUGGGCUUUGGAAAUGGUGCAAAUAUCUUCAAAAACUGGAAAUCAAAUCCUGUGAUGUGCUCAUCCACUGGCCACAGAGAGAAUUCCAAAGCCUAGAGUCAUUGAACGAACUAACAGUUGAGUCUUGCAAAAAUCUAAAAGGCAUUAUGCCAGUGGAUGGAGAGCCCAUUCAAGGAAUUGGGCAGCUCCUACCACGUCUGAAAUUUCUAGGAAUACGCAACUGCCAAGAGUUAACAGAGAUAUUUAAUCUUCCCUGGUCCCUCAAGACUAUUGACAUAUAUCGCUGUCCUAGGUUGAAAUCGAUAUAUGGUAAACAGGAGGAUAGUGAAUCGGGAAGUGCACAUGCAGAGCAGCUCACCACAUUAUUGAGCAAAAGGAUGCCAGACCCAUCAUCAUCAGCAGCAGCUGCAGCAACGGAGCAUCUUCUACCAUGCCUAGAACACCUUAACAUAGGGCACUGUGAUAGCUUCACAAAGGUUCCUGAUCUCCCACCAUCGCUCCAAAUAUUGCACAUGUAUAACUGCCCUAACGUCCGAUUUCUAUCGGGGAAGCUGGAUGCACUCGACUCCUUAUAUAUUAGUGACUGUAAGAACUUGAGGUCCUUGGGACCAUGCCUGGGGAACUUGCCGUCCUUGACAAGUCUCAGCAUUUACAGAUGCAAAAGCUUGGUGUCCUUGCCGGAUGGCCCUGGAGCAUACUCCUCCCUAGAGACACUUGAAAUCAAGUACUGCCCAGCUAUGAAGUCACUUCCUGGACGCCUCCAGCAACGUCUUGAUAGCCUUGAGGAGAAAGACUUGUCAAACAUGCGUUCCAGCGAUCCAUGGGAAGGGCCUAAACUACUAGAACCAAAAUCCUGGAAAUAUGUCAUCCCCAGAUGUCGGUGAGGCAACACCGCUGAGGUCAUGAAGAGGCCUUUUUAUAGAGGAUUGCUCCCAAACUCUGCUUGUUUCGUUCUGUGCAUGUCUUGGUUGCAGGAUUGCUCCCAAACUGAAAUAACGGGUUGGUGACUUUGUAGUGAACAUGGGCAAUCCAUCUUCUAAAUUGCAAGAUCUUUGGAUCGGAUCGAUCCAUCUCCUGUCGCAUGCCCCUUCCCUGCCGCGACAGAGAGCGACGCCGCGCCAUAGCCGAGCACCGCCGACGCCGGGCGCCACCACCCCGCCACCGAGCGCCGCCACCCCACCUGCCGCCGAGCACCCCACCAUCCAUCUGCAACCGUCCAUCUGAUCGUCCAAUUGAUUUUUGUAUGUAAGCACAGAUACGAUUUGGUAGGAGUGCUAGUAAUACUGAUCUUGUAUGUAAGCACCUUGGCAUCUCCUGAUUG
RNA transcript from Oryza sativa Japonica Group (Japanese rice), 5226 nucleotides. It is a transcript of the gene named putative disease resistance protein RGA4, with no coding region annotated. The record is from RefSeq and is a predicted model, not a curated record. Lineage: Eukaryota; Viridiplantae; Streptophyta; Magnoliopsida; Poales; Poaceae.